UCCGGCUUGCCACCGGGGCAGUCCCCUCAGAGUGCCCGGCAUGACCCGGUAGCAACAGAGGGCGAGGGUUGCGCUCGUUGCGGGACUUAACCCAACAUCUCACGACACGAGCUGACGACAGCCAUGCAGCACCUGUGCACAGGCCCCGAAGGGAGGGUGACUUUCAUCACCUGUCCUGCACAUGUCAAACCCAGGUAAGGUUCUUCGCGUUGCGUCGAAUUAAACCACAUGCUCCACCGCUUGUGCGGGCCCCCGUCAAUUCCUUUGAGUUUCGGCCUUGCGACCGUACUCCCCAGGCGGGGCACUUAAUGCGUUAGCUACGGCACGGAACCCGUUGAUAGAGCCCCACACCUAGUGCCCAACGUUUACGGCGUGGACUAC
This 381-nucleotide unclassified non-coding RNA is filed under the name uncultured bacterium. RNAcentral's name for it is "contains 16S-23S intergenic spacer region". The record is from RNAcentral.